Non-coding RNA from Pelobates cultripes (western spadefoot toad), 223 nucleotides. The record is from the annotation of a GenBank genome assembly. NCBI's taxonomy places the organism in Eukaryota, Metazoa, Chordata, Amphibia, Anura, Pelobatidae.
ACAUACACACACACAGCACCCUCACACACUGUACCCUUCACAUACACACACAGCACCCUCUCUCACACACACACACACACACACACACACACACAGCAUCCUCUCAAACACACAACAUGCUCUCACACACACAGACACACACACACACACAGCACCCCUCUCUCACACAAACACAGCACCCUCACCACACUGCACCCCUCACAUACACACAUACUCACACAAC